Molecule: ribosomal RNA, 763 nt
Filed under: Mikhtomia multicolor
Lineage: Eukaryota; Fungi; Ascomycota; Lecanoromycetes; Teloschistales; Teloschistaceae
Description: eukaryotic LSU rRNA
Rfam family: Eukaryotic large subunit ribosomal RNA
Source: RNAcentral
CGGGCGCGGCGGCGGUCUAAGUCUCUUGGAACGGGGCGUCAUAGAGGGUGAGAAUCCCGUAUGUGACCGGCGACCAAGCCUAUGUGAAACUCCUUCGACGAGUCGAGUUGUUUGGGAAUGCAGCUCAAAAUGGGUGGUAAAUUUCAUCUAAAGCUAAAUAUUGGCCAGAGACCGAUAGCGCACAAGUAGAGUGAUCGAAAGAUGAAAAGCACUUUGGAAAGAGAGUCAAAAAGUACGUGAAAUUGUUGAAAGGGAAGCGCUUGCAACCAGACCUGCCCGCGGGCGAUCAGCCGUCUCUUGGGGGCGGUGCACGCGCCCGUGUACAGGCCAGCAUCGGUUCGGGCGGCCGGAUAAAGGCCUCGGGAAUGUAGCUCCUCUCGGGGAGUGUUAUAGCCCUUGGCGCAAUGCGGCCAGCCCGGACCGAGGACCGCGCUUCGGCUAGGAUGCUGGCGUAAUGGUUGUAAGCGGCCCGUCUUGAAACACGGACCAAGGAGUCUAACAUCUAUGCGAGUGUUUGGGUGUCAAACCCAUACGCGUAAUGAAAGUGAACGGAGGUAGGAACCCUUGAGGGCGCACUAUCGACCGAUCCUGAUGUCUUCGGAUGGAUUUGAGUACGAGCAUAGCUGUUGGGACCCGAAAGAUGGUGAACUAUGCCUGAAUAGGGUGAAGCCAGAGGAAACUCUGGUGGAGGCUCGCAGCGGUUCUGACGUGCAAAUCGAUCGUCAAAUUUGGGUAUAGGGGCGAAGUAAGUUUAUAAUUUCUG